UGCAUCUGAAGCCUGACGAGGAUGAGAACCUCCGGGGGCAAGAGGUUCGACUCGAGCGCAGCGAGAGAACGUUGCGUCAGCAACGGCCCGCAGGGCG
Molecule: small RNA, 97 nt
Filed under: Salmonella enterica
Lineage: Bacteria; Pseudomonadati; Pseudomonadota; Gammaproteobacteria; Enterobacterales; Enterobacteriaceae
Also listed under: 2 other names
Description: partial RtT sRNA
Rfam family: RtT RNA
About the family: This family represents a bacterial cis-regulatory element known as RtT RNA.
Source: RNAcentral